RNAcentral lists this small nucleolar RNA (93 nucleotides) under Leersia perrieri. Its description in RNAcentral is "snoRNA snoR26". It matches the Rfam family "Small nucleolar RNA snoR26". Lineage: Eukaryota; Viridiplantae; Streptophyta; Magnoliopsida; Poales; Poaceae. The record is from Rfam by way of RNAcentral.
AUAGCACCAAUGAUGUUUACAUCCAUAACUCAUCCUUGCACUAUGAGCUUACCAGUGAAGAAAGCAUUGGGGAAUUCGUAGUCUGAGGUGCUC